This 496-nucleotide ribosomal RNA is filed under the name uncultured bacterium. RNAcentral describes it as "partial 16S ribosomal RNA". It matches the Rfam family "Bacterial small subunit ribosomal RNA", at positions 28 to 506 of the family's 1533-position model. The record is from RNAcentral.
GACGAACGCUGGCGGCGUGCCUAAUACAUGCAAGUAGAGCGCUGAAGGGUGGUGCUUGUUCUUCUUGGAUGAGUAGCGAACGGGUGAGUAACGCGUGGGUAACCUGCCUUUUAGCGGGGGAUAACUUUUGGAAACGAUAGCUAAUACCGCAUAACAACGUUUAACACAUGUCAUUUGUUUGAAGGGGGCAAUUGCUUCACUACAAGAUGAUCCUGCGUUGUAUUAGCUAGUAGGUGAGGUAAUGGCUCACCUAGGCGAGGAUACAUAGCCGACCUGAGAGGGUGAUCGGCCACACUGGGACUGAGACACGGCCCAGACUCCUACGGGAGGCAGCAGUAGGGAAUCUUCGGCAAUGGGGGCAACCCUGACCGAGCAACGCCGCGUGAGUGAGGAAGGUUUUCGGAUCGUAAAGCUCUGUUGUAAGUCAAGAACGGGUGUGAGAGUGGAAAGUCCACACUGUGACGGAAGCUUACAAAAAAGGAAGGCUGACCUAGGU